CAGUAGCCGCGGUAAUACGGAGGGGGCUAGCGUUGUUCGGAAUUACUGGGCGUAAAGCGCACGUAGGCGGCUUUGUAAGUCAGAGGUGAAAGCCCGGGGCUCAACCCCGGAAUUGCCUUUGAGACUGCAUCGCUUGAAUCCAGGAGAGGUGAGUGGAAUUCCGAGUGUAGAGGUGAAAUUCGUAGAUAUUCGGAAGAACACCAGUGGCGAAGGCGGCUCACUGGACUGGUAUUGACGCUGAGGUGCGAAAGCGUGGGGAGCAAACAGGAUUAGAGACCCCUGUAGUCCCUGUCUCUUAUAC
Molecule: ribosomal RNA, 301 nt
Filed under: uncultured bacterium
Lineage: Bacteria
Description: partial 16S ribosomal RNA
Rfam family: Bacterial small subunit ribosomal RNA
Source: RNAcentral